This 1078-nucleotide long non-coding RNA is filed under the name Olea europaea (common olive). RNAcentral's name for it is "long non-coding RNA (OEUR_LNC011020)". Lineage: Eukaryota; Viridiplantae; Streptophyta; Magnoliopsida; Lamiales; Oleaceae. The record is from RNAcentral.
UUUAAUUUUAAUGGUUUAAUAUAGAUUGGUUUUGAUACCACUUAUUGAAUAUUUAUGAAUUUUAAACUUUAUAAACUUUAUAUGGUUGCUAAGAUCUGCACGUCAAAUCACCAAUAAAAAUAAUUAAAGUGGAACAAACCUUGAUCCAUUGAUUUGUUUCUCGAAUAAUAAAUCUUGAAUUGUAAUCUUUGAAUCUUGUUUCCAGAUCUUUAAUCUUGAUUCUUGAUUAUGGAUACUUGAAUUCUUCUUGUUUAUUCAUGAAUUCCUUUAUAUAGGUUUUGGAUCUCUCUCUUCAAUAUGCUUUAUCUAUUAAUUCUUGCACUGAUGGGAUGACACAAAGAAUGAGAAGUUGCAUAUAAUUUGGGUACCAUAACCAUAUAUAAAGUUUCAAUAUGUAUUUCGCGCAUCCUAAAAUAUAAUUCUAAAUGAAUCUGGUCUCUAUACAUAUAAUCCAGCCCAUACUUUAUUUAGAUGCCCUAAGUCCAAUUACUUAAUACUUUAUUAGAUCACUUUAACUUUGGACUUAAAUUUAAAAUAGUUUUUAUACACAAUUAAUUACAUUUGACGGUCCACAUGGCAAAUUAAUAAUUUUCCAACAUAAUUUACACAAAGUAGCUUGACUAUGCUCCAAAUCCAAACAAGAAGGACAAAAUUUUCUAUUUAAGAAGCUUAAUUAUGCUCCAAAUCCCAACAAAAGCAACAAUAAAUUACAUUAAAUCCUCCUUUAAAUUCUUCUCACAAAUAGAAGUAUCUCCUUAUCACCUACUUUCACUCCUUUCGUACGUAUUAUUACAUUUCUUUUCUUAACAUAUAACUCGUAGUUAUCAAAGAUUUCAAUAUCUAGAAACCCGGAAAAUAAAAGGAUUAUGGUCAAAAAGCAGUGAAACUCAUCUGUCUCAGCCUUGAAUUUGGGCUUCCUUUGGCAAUAACCAUCAAUUUGCACAUCCUUAUAAUCAAAACCUAAGAAAAUGCAAGAAAAUUGGUUGCUGAAUUUCAAGAAUUGCACGGCGGAAACAAACAACGAAAAUCUAUUGUCAAGGGAUUUUGAGAGAGAUGGUUUUCUAUGCGCAGAGGGAAU